UACGAAGGGGGCUAGCGUUGCUCGGAAUCACUGGGCGUAAAGCGCACGUAGGCGGAUUGUUAAGUCAGGGGUGAAAUCCUGGAGCUCAACUCCAGAACUGCCUUUGAUACUGGCGAUCUCGAGUCCGGGAGAGGUGAGUGGAACUGCGAGUGUAGAGGUGAAAUUCGUAGAUAUUCGCAAGAACACCAGUGGCGAAGGCGGCUCACUGGCCCGGUACUGACGCUGAGGUGCGAAAGCCAGGGGAGCAAACGGG
RNAcentral lists this ribosomal RNA (253 nucleotides) under uncultured bacterium. RNAcentral's name for it is "partial 16S ribosomal RNA". It matches the Rfam family "Bacterial small subunit ribosomal RNA", at positions 524 to 776 of the family's 1533-position model. The record is from RNAcentral.